ACCCUUGACCACGGUAUAGUCAGCGACUGGGGUGAAGUCGUAACAAGGUAGCCGUAGGGGAACCUGCGGCUGGAUUACCUCCUUUCUAAGGAUGAAUGAAAGUAAAAUUUCAUUCUAAAUAAUAUACAUCGGUAAUGUUGACCGUCCUCAUUUCUCUUCUUAAAGUAAUGUUUCCUUCUUGUAGGGCCGGUAGCUCAGUUGGUUAGAGCACACCCUUGAUAAGGGUGGGGUCGAAAGUUCGAGUCUUUCUCGGCCCACCAUACUUAACUGGGGGAUUAGCUCAGCUGGGAGAGCGCCUGAUUUGCAUUCAGGAGGUCAGCGGUUCGAUCCCGCUAUCCUCCACCAGGAAACAUUUAAUUAUAAAAACUGUAAAUAAAUUAAUAAUUAAUAUCAAUAUCUAUAUCCGAACAUUAGUAAUGUUAUUAGCUAAUGUUCAAAAUAAAAAUUUGAUCACAACAUAGAUUAAUUUUCUUUUAAAAGAAUUUUUUUCUGUGCAUAAAUCAAGCGUUUAAGGGCGUGUAGUGGAUGCCUUGGCACUGAAAGCCGAUGAAGGACGUGAUAUACUGCGAUAAGUUUCGGGGAGCUGUAUGUAAGUUUUGAUCCGAAAAUUU
RNAcentral lists this unclassified non-coding RNA (611 nucleotides) under uncultured marine bacterium. RNAcentral describes it as "partial contains 16S ribosomal RNA, 16S-23S ribosomal RNA intergenic spacer, and 23S ribosomal RNA". The stretch from base 499 to 611 matches the Rfam family "Bacterial large subunit ribosomal RNA", at positions 1 to 113 of the family's 2925-position model. The record is from RNAcentral.